This 838-nucleotide ribosomal RNA is filed under the name uncultured bacterium. RNAcentral describes it as "bacterial SSU rRNA". It matches the Rfam family "Bacterial small subunit ribosomal RNA", at positions 524 to 1381 of the family's 1533-position model. The record is from RNAcentral.
UACGAGGGAUGCAAGCGUUAUCCGGAAUUAUUGGGCGUAAAGCGUUUGUAGGCGGGCGAGUGUGUUUAAUGUUAAAUCUUAAAGCUCAACUUUGAAAUUGCGUUAAAAACUGCUUGUCUUGAGUAUGGUAGGGGUAAAGGGAAUUCCCAGUGUAGCGGUGAAAUGCGUAGAUAUUGGGAAGAACACUAAACAGCGAAGGCACUUUACUAGGCUAAUACUGACGCUGAGAAACGAAAGGUAAGGUAGCGAAACGGAUUAGAUACCCGUGUAGUCUUACCCGUAAACUAUGGACACUAAACGGUAAAUUUUUAAUUUACUGUUAAAGCUAACGCGUUAAGUGUCCCGCCUGGGGAGUAUGCUUGCAAAAGUGAAACUCAAAGGAAUUGACGGGGGCCCGCACAAGCGGUGGAGCAUGUGGUUUAAUUCGACGGUACACGAAGAACCUUACCAGGAUUUGACAUGCUAGAUAGUUGCUUGAAAGAGUAACGUGCCGUAAGGAAUCUAGACACAGGUGGUGCAUGGCUGUCGUCAGUUCGUGUUGUGAAAUGUUGGGUUAAGUCCCGCAACGAACGCAACCCUUGUCUUUAGUUAUUUUCUAAAGAGACUGCCUGUAAUAAACAGGAGGAAGGUAAGGAUGAGGUCAAGUCAUCAUGCCCCUUAUGUCCUGGGCUACACACGUGCUACAAUGGGAAAGACAAUGAGCUGCAAAUCUGUAAAUUUAAGCAAAUCUCUUAAACUUCCUCGUAGUUCGGAUUGUGGGCUGCAACUCGCCCACAUGAAGUUGGAAUCGCUAGUAAUCGCCAGUCAGCUAUAUGGCGGUGAAUCCGUUCCCGGGCCU